GACCCUACGGGGCGCAGCAGUGAGGAAUAUUGGUCAAUGGGAGAGAUCCUGAACCAGCCAAGCCGCGUGAGGGAAGACGGCCCUAUGGGUUGUAAACCUCUUUUGUCGGGGAGCAAGACCCGCCUCGUGCAGGCGGAGCGAGAGUACCCGAAGAAAAAGCAUCGGCUAACUCCGUGCCAGCAGCCGCGGUAAUACGGAGGAUGCGAGCGUUAUCCGGAUUUAUUGGGUUUAAAGGGUGCGUAGGCGGAAUGCCAAGUCAGCGGUAAAAUCGCGGGGCUCAACCCCGCUCCGCCGUUGAAACUGGC
Molecule: ribosomal RNA, 305 nt
Filed under: uncultured bacterium
Lineage: Bacteria
Description: bacterial SSU rRNA
Rfam family: Bacterial small subunit ribosomal RNA
Source: RNAcentral